CGCGUAGGUGGUUUGUUAAGUUGGAUGUGAAAGCCCCGGGCUCAACCUGGGAACUGCAUCCAAAACUGGCAAGUUAGAGUACGGUAGAGGGUGGUGGAAUUUCCUGUGUAGCGGUGAAAUGCGUAGAUAUAGGAAGGAACACCAGUGGCGAAGGCGACCACCUGGACUGAUACUGACACUGAGGCGCGAAAGUGUGGGGAGGCAAAACA
RNAcentral lists this ribosomal RNA (209 nucleotides) under uncultured bacterium. RNAcentral's name for it is "partial 16S ribosomal RNA". It matches the Rfam family "Bacterial small subunit ribosomal RNA", at positions 568 to 776 of the family's 1533-position model. The record is from RNAcentral.